GUAGUGAGUGAUACUCUUUGGAGUUAACUUGAAAUUGCUGGCCUUUUUCAUUGGAUGUUUUUUUUUUCCAAAGAGAGGUUUCUCUGCGUGCUUGAGGUAUAAUGCAAGUACGGUCGUUUUAGGUUUUACCAACUGCGGCUAAUCUUUUUUAUACUGAGCGUAUUGGAACGUUAUCGAUAAGAAGAGAGCGUCUAGGCGAACAAUGUUCUUAAAGUUUGACCUCAAAUCAGGUAGGAGUACCCGCUGAACUUAAGCAUAUCAAUAAGCGGAGGAAAAGAAACCAACCGGGAUUGCCUUAGUAACGGCGAGUGAAGCGGCAAAAGCUCAAAUUUGAAAUCUGGUACCUUCGGUGCCCGAGUUGUAAUUUGGAGAGGGCAACUUUGGGGCCGUUCCUUGUCUAUGUUCCUUGGAACAGGACGUCAUAGAGGGUGAGAAUCCCGUGUGGCGAGGAGUGCGGUUCUUUGUAAAGUGCCUUCGAAGAGUCGAGUUGUUUGGGAAUGCAGCUCUAAGUGGGUGGUAAAUUCCAUCUAAAGCUAAAUAUUGGCGAGAGACCGAUAGCGAACAAGUACAGUGAUGGAAAGAUGAAAAGAACUUUGAAAAGAGAGUGAAAAAGUACGUGAAAUUGUUGAAAGGGAAGGGCAUUUGAUCAGACAUGGUGUUUUGUGCCCUCUGCUCCUUGUGGGUAGGGGAAUCUCGCAUUUCACUGGGCCAGCAUCAGUUUUGGUGGCAGGAUAAAUCCAUAGGAAUGUAGCUUGCCUCGGUAAGUAUUAUAGCCUGUGGGAAUACUGCCAGCUGGGACUGAGGACUGCGACGUAAGUCAAGGAUGCUGGCAUAAUGGUUAUAUGCCGCCCGUCUUGAAA
Molecule: ribosomal RNA, 860 nt
Filed under: uncultured fungus
Lineage: Eukaryota; Fungi
Description: eukaryotic LSU rRNA
Rfam family: Eukaryotic large subunit ribosomal RNA (bases 217-860)
Source: RNAcentral